RNAcentral lists this microRNA precursor (98 nucleotides) under Pristionchus pacificus. RNAcentral's name for it is "microRNA ppc-mir-232 precursor". Its record names the gene ppc-mir-232. Lineage: Eukaryota; Metazoa; Nematoda; Chromadorea; Rhabditida; Neodiplogasteridae. The record is from miRBase by way of RNAcentral.
UUCUUCAAUGAAAUCGCCCAUCGUAGUCAGUUGCAUUCUUUCGGAUCAAUUAGAUCUAUCGAAUAAAUGCAUCUACACUUCGGUGGACGAUUUGAAGA